GAAAACGGGCUCACUGCAGCUAACAGCCUCACCCCUUGGGCUAGGAAGCCACGGAAGCAAAACCUCCGCCCCGGCCUGAAAGCAACCGGGAGACCGCGGAACCACUGCCACCGACUCAGCCCUGCCCAGCAGGGGCCCGCCCAGGGGCCACUCCCCAAGGGAGGCAGCCAGUCACUCGCCCGCCCUUCCGGGCCCACUCCCGAGGGGACGGUCUCCCGCCCGCCCUCACACACAGCUAGCUCUUCAGGCCAGGCCCCCAGGGUUUCGUCCACCUCUCACCUUUGACGACGCGGAUGAAGAAUGAGGAGGUGCUGCGAUCGAACGACUGCGAGGAAACACACCCGCUCUCAUGGCAUUCCCAGUAAACUGAGAAGACGUGAUUAAACCUCAGGAUCUCCUACUAAUAGAGAAAUGUAUAACGAUUUAGCUACCAGAUCUGAAUACUGAAGGGUUGGUAGGGGACCAGAGAAUAGAGGAAGCAUUGUAGGUUCUAGAGUGGAGAAGGGACCAUCCAAAAUGGAGUUUGAAAGAGAAUUCUGGCCUUUGUGUUUAGAGUCUGGAAUUGUCAAGAGUCUGAAAGCACAGAAUAAGACUGCAGCUAGAGCAAUUUAGGCGCCAUAGUUUGUCAAAACAGGUAAGGGGAAUAAAGGGGAUGACACCAAGAGAUGUGCAAAGAAUCUGAAGAAUUCACCUGAAAAGGAUACAACCUCCUCCUGGAAGGCAGAGGAGUAAAUAGGGAAUUGGAAAUUAAUUCCUUAUUUCUGCACAUGCACAGAAUCUGGGCCCAGGUGACUUAUGGAACCUUUAUAGAGACCACGGUGACUGACACUCAUGGGAAAGGGGGUAGAGGGGCAAGAACUGACUGUUCAUCAAAAAUUAUUAGAUGAGUGUGUCCACGACACCAGGAGAUAUGUUGAAUCAUGGACAGGGAGCCACCGCGCCCGGCCCACAGUACAGUUUUACAAAGAAAGGUGUAGCUCCAGGAAAGGAAAGGAAUAACCUUUACCAUUGACUGUGCUGCAGGACUCUAGCCCUGAUCUGCUCUCUUCUGGGAGCAUCUGAUAGAACAAACAGAAACCCCUCUCCCACUGUUCUCCUGUGUCCAGAGUGGGAGGCAUAACUGCUUUGCCUCCAGUCAUCAUCUGGGGGCAUAUCUACUCUUCGAGGACCAGGGGUUCGGGACCCUGGAACAGGAUCUGAAUUCCAAGCUGACCUCAGGGGUACAUGAAGACUGCUAGAUGGGACGGGAUCUCACUGUGUUGCCCAGGCUGGUCUCGAACUGCUGGACUCAAGUCAUCCUCCCAUCUUGGCCUCCCAAAGUGCUGGAAUUACAGGUGUGAGACGCUGUGCCUUGCUUUUUUUUUGUUUCUCCAACUUUUCUUAAAAUGUUACCUUCACUUCAGUUAAGCUGCCUUUGUUUGAUCUCUGAGAUCUAAUGUGGAAUGCCUUUUCUUAUACAUUUAUUCAACUUUGGCGACAACCUUCAAUGCACUGGUACUUUGUACCCUGACCUCUACUGUGAUGAACACUCAACUUGGGCAAGGAAGUGAAAUUCUCCAAAGGUGCAGUGGGUUCUGACCCAAUCAGCAGCCUUUGCUUCUCAGAUUCCUCUCAAGGCUUUAUGACUCUUCUCACCCCAGGAAACCCUACAACACGCACGGCCUUUCAGAACUGCUACAUGGAAUGGACAUUCCUCUGGGCUCCAGCUGAAUGUUUGUAAAUAAAAUAAUGACUGCGUGUCCUAGGAGGAGGGUGCUCUGAAUAGAUGGACCCUGAUUCUACUUACAAAACUGUGGGAAGAAACCGGAGCUUCCUCCCUCUCUGAGACAACGGUGCCACUGAGACUGCGUGAGAUGCGACGUAAAUUCUCUGCACUGUACUGCUCAUCCUCCCCACACUCCCUGCUGAGGCCUCGGCAAGGUGUAGCCUUCAAACACACAGACACAUACAGGCAGACACAUAAUACCAGACUUAUGGUUUUCCCACAGACAGUAUCCUCAGGGUAUGGGAAAGAGUAGGGGAAGACUCAGUAGUAAUAGACACCUGAAUUAGAUGUAUUGGUAAGAUAGUGGCCAUGUAACAAUCUCCUCUAAUUCAAAAGAAGCCCAAUCAUAGACCUU
This 2120-nucleotide long non-coding RNA is filed under the name Homo sapiens (human). RNAcentral's name for it is "HSALNT0164340". The record is from RNAcentral. Lineage: Eukaryota; Metazoa; Chordata; Mammalia; Primates; Hominidae.